Molecule: ribosomal RNA, 468 nt
Filed under: uncultured bacterium
Lineage: Bacteria
Description: partial 16S ribosomal RNA
Rfam family: Bacterial small subunit ribosomal RNA
Source: RNAcentral
GACGAACGCUGGCGGCGUGCUUAACACAUGCAAGUCGAACGGAAAGGCCCUGCUUUUGUGGGUUGCUCGAGUGGCGAACGGGUGAGUAACACGUGAGUAACCUGCCCUUGACUUUGGGAUAACUUCAGGAAACUGGGGCUCUUACCGGAUAGGAUCUCCUGCUGCAUGGUGGGGGUUGGAAAGUUUCGGCGGUUGGGGAUGGACUCGCGGCUUAUCAGCUUGUUUGUGUGGUAGUGGCUUACCAAGGCUUUGACGGGUAGCCGGCCUGAGAGGGGGACCGGCCACAAUGGGACUGAGAGACGGCGCAGACGCGUAUGGGAGGCAGUAGUGGAGAAUAUGGCAGAAUGGGAGGAAGCGAGAUGCAGAAACGCAGCGAGCGGGAUGACGGCCUUCGGGUGGUAAACCGAUUUGGCCUGUGACGAAGCGUGAGUGACGGUAAUGGGUAAAGAAGCACCGGCUAACUACGUG